RNAcentral lists this transfer RNA (73 nucleotides) under Marinobacterium lacunae. RNAcentral describes it as "Marinobacterium sp. AK27 tRNA". It matches the Rfam family "tRNA". From Rfam's summary of the family: Transfer RNA (tRNA) molecules are approximately 80 nucleotides in length. Their secondary structure includes four short double-helical elements and three loops (D, anti-codon, and T loops). Lineage: Bacteria; Pseudomonadati; Pseudomonadota; Gammaproteobacteria; Oceanospirillales; Oceanospirillaceae. The record is from Rfam by way of RNAcentral.
GCCGCUGUAGCUCAGUCGGUAGAGCAACUGAUUCGUAAUCAGUAGGUCGGAGGUUCGAUUCCUCUCAGCGGCA